UAUGUUGCUAGACAUGACUGGUUUUUGCUGC
Molecule: non-coding RNA, 31 nt
Filed under: Rattus norvegicus (Norway rat)
Lineage: Eukaryota; Metazoa; Chordata; Mammalia; Rodentia; Muridae
Source: RNAcentral